RNAcentral lists this ribosomal RNA (579 nucleotides) under uncultured microorganism. Its description in RNAcentral is "bacterial SSU rRNA". It matches the Rfam family "Bacterial small subunit ribosomal RNA", at positions 154 to 734 of the family's 1533-position model. The record is from RNAcentral.
AAACGACUGCUAAUACCGCAUAAUGUCUACGGACCAAAGGGGGCUUCGGCUCUCGCCUUUAGAUUGGCCCAAGUGGGAUUAGCUAGUUGGUGAGGUAAUGGCUCACCAAGGCGACGAUCCCUAGCUGGUUUGAGAGGAUGAUCAGCCACACUGGGACUGAGACACGGCCCAGACUCCUACGGGAGGCAGCAGUGGGGAAUAUUGCACAAUGGGCGCAAGCCUGAUGCAGCCAUGCCGCGUGUGUGAAGAAGGCCUUCGGGUUGUAAAGCACUUUCAGUCAGGAGGAAAGGUUAGUAGUUAAUACCUGCUAGCUGUGACGUUACUGACAGAAGAAGCACCGGCUAACUCCGUGCCAGCAGCCGCGGUAAUACGGAGGGUGCGAGCGUUAAUCGGAAUUACUGGGCGUAAAGCGUACGCAGGCGGUUUGUUAAGCGAGAUGUGAAAGCCCCGGGNUCAACCUGGGAACUGCAUUUCGAACUGGCAAACUANAGUGUGAUAGAGGGUGGUAGAAUUUCAGGUGUAGCGGUGAAAUGCGUAGAGAUCUGAAGGAAUANCGAUGGCGAAGGCAGCCACCUGGGU